AUGCCAGAGUCGCCAUGGAGCCUCUCGAGAAGAACAUCAACCGCAGAGGCGACAAUAUCAUUGUUUGAGAUGGCGGCCUAUGGCUACACCAACAAUGGCAGCUUGUUCACUGGGUACCCUGUGGUGGGGUUCCAACACCAGAUCCAAGCUUCCAGCGGAUGCAUCGGCAGCUCAAAAGACGCGCUCCUCACCUCAGGCGCAUGGGACCCGCGCAUCAAGGGAACCUUCUUCUACAGCAAUGGCUACAGCAUUGCGCUCUCUAGGGUGUCCGCGUUCAUCGCCAACAUGCAGCAGCUCCGUGACCGCAGCCCGCUGGCCUUCUGCGGAAUCGAUGCUAGUGUGGGUAUGCUCCUCCGCUACGUCAAAGCAUCCUCCGCCUACCUCGGCAAGCCAGAGGACUCGAUCGACUUUGAUAUAGCCUACUAUCGGAGUUACACCAAGGGUGAGCCCAACCCACACUCUGAUGUGUUCGAUGAGCUCGAGCAGAUGGCACUGCACAAGUAUGAUGCCAUCCCACAUUGGGGCAAGAACCGCAACUUUGCCUUUGAGGGUGCCAUUGCCAUGUACCCCAAGGCAGGUGAGUUCUUGGAGGUGAAGGACAGGUACGACCCCGACGGGAUCUUCUCCAGCGAGUGGAGCGACCAGGUGCUCGGUAUCAAUGGGAGCCCGAUCAUUGUCGAGAAGCGUUGCGCCAUCGAGGGGCUUUGCAUCUGCUCAGAAGACUCGCAUUGUGCACCGGAGGAGGGCUACUACUGCCGCCCGGGGAAGGUGUACACAGAGGCAAGGGUCUGCUCGUUCGAACCCAUCUUGCAGUGUGCACCGGAGGAGGGCUACUACUGCCACUCAGGGAAGGUGUACACGGAGGCGAGGGUCUGCUCCUUCGAACCGGCCAUCUGA
RNAcentral lists this ribosomal RNA (897 nucleotides) under Triticum aestivum (bread wheat). RNAcentral describes it as "partial small subunit ribosomal RNA". The record is from RNAcentral. Lineage: Eukaryota; Viridiplantae; Streptophyta; Magnoliopsida; Poales; Poaceae.